RNAcentral lists this ribosomal RNA (254 nucleotides) under uncultured bacterium. RNAcentral's name for it is "partial 16S ribosomal RNA". It matches the Rfam family "Bacterial small subunit ribosomal RNA", at positions 524 to 776 of the family's 1533-position model. The record is from RNAcentral.
GACGUAGGGGGCCAGCGUUGUUCGGAAUUACUGGGCGUAAAGGGCGCGUAGGCGGUCAGCACAAGUCAGUUGUGAAAUCUCCGGGCUUAACUCGGAAAGGUCAACUGAUACUGUGCGACUAGAGUGCGGAAGGGGCAACUGGAAUUCUCGGUGUAGCGGUGAAAUGCGUAGAUAUCGAGAGGAACACCUGCGGCGAAGGCGGGUUGCUGGGCCGACACUGACGCUGAUGCGCGAAAGCCAGGGGAGCGAACGGG